This 427-nucleotide ribosomal RNA is filed under the name uncultured bacterium. RNAcentral's name for it is "partial 16S ribosomal RNA". It matches the Rfam family "Bacterial small subunit ribosomal RNA", at positions 355 to 774 of the family's 1533-position model. The record is from RNAcentral.
UGGGGAAUAUUGCACAAUGGGCGCAAGCCUGAUGCAGCCAUGCCGCGUGUGUGAAGAAGGCCUUCGGGUUGUAAAGCACUUUCAGCGAGGAGGAAGGGUAGUGUGUUAAUAGCACAUUGCAUUGACGUUACUCGCAGAAGAAGCACCGGCUAACUCCGUGCCAGCAGCCGCGGUAAUACGGAGGGUGCAAACGUUAAUCGGAAUUACUGGGCGUAAAGCGCACGCAGGCGGUUUGUUAAGUCAGAUGUGAAAUCCCCGCGCUUAACGUGGGAACUGCAUUUGAAACUGGCAAGCUAGAGUCUUGUAGAGGGGGGUAGAAUUCCAGGUGUAGCGGUGAAAUGCGUAGAGAUCUGGAGGAAUACCGGUGGCGAAGGCGGCCCCCUGGACAAAGACUGACGCUCAGGUGCGAAAGCGUGGGGAGCAAACA